Pelobates cultripes (western spadefoot toad) is the source of this 1433-nucleotide non-coding RNA. The record is from the annotation of a GenBank genome assembly. NCBI's taxonomy places the organism in Eukaryota, Metazoa, Chordata, Amphibia, Anura, Pelobatidae.
AUCAUGCCUCUGAAAUCCCAAUGCUCACUCCCAAAAUUGGCAUCCUUGUGUGAGAUUGCUAUAUUUUAGGAUACCAAAUAAGGGAGCUAUCUGCUAAACAGUGCCAUAAUUUAAUAUGGAAAUCCCAGAUAAGGUAACCAAAUUAGUGAGCUAUCAACUAAACAGCUGAAAGACCAAACGUAAGACAAUGGCUUUUCUCAGUUUUGAUACAAGUUCCUCUAUGGAUUUUAGAAAGUUCUUCAUGUAAGGAUGAAGCAAAGAAAGAACCACAUCGAAGGGAAUCUAAUUCUGGCCCUUAAAAUCAUUCCCCAUCACUUACCUGUCUACAUUCAGCGGUAAAACAAUGUAUAGCUCUUGGGCUGUCCAGAUACUCUGUGUUCAGAAUAAUAAGUGGAAGACACGCAUUUUAAAAGCCUAUAAAUGAUGCAUGCCCUAAUAUUAUAUUUGUUUAUAACUGCAAAUAAAAGGUUACAUAUAUUAUAGACUAACUGCUGUAGAAUUAGGAAUAUAAAUAUAUAUUCCUAAUGCUAUAGGUUUAAGCUAUCUAUUUAGGCCCCCCUCCACGCCUGUGAGCGUUUGAAAGGCGAGAUUUACUUACCUUUCAGCCACUCACAGUAACCGGUCUCCUGGUUGUUACUCUGCCUCUUUUAGAAACAUUGGGAGACUAUUGCGCAUGCGCAGCAAAACACAGUGCACUGCCACCAGUCAAAUAGCCUCUGAGACCAUCUGAUUGAACAGCCGAGUUUAACUCGAUUUAUUGAGGUGGAAGCGGCAUGUUGACCAUACAAUGUAAACAUUGCCAUUCCUGCAGAACUUUACUGAGAGGGUAGUGGAUGCAUGGAAUAGCCUUCCAUCUGAAGUGGUAGAGGUUAACACAGUAAAGGAGUUUAAGCAUGCGUAGGAUAGGCAUAAGGCUAUCCUAACUAUAAGAUAAGGCCAGGGACUAAUUAAAGUAUUUAGAAAAUUGGGCAGACUAGAUGGGCCAAAUGGUUCUUAUGUGCCGUCACAUUCUAUGUCCUCUUCAAUCCGAUGCACCACAUAUCUGCCAGGACCAGGUGUAAUCUGAACAUCUGAGAACAUUUGUGAGAAGCACAAUACAUGUUCAUGACAUGAGGAUGUGCGCGCACACACAGCUCAGUUAUCUGCACGGUUUCUGUGCCUGCAGGUGCUUCCAGCCAAAGGGAGUUUAAAGUUGGCUGUCCUAAUGGUGCAAUGACAAUAGUAGCAGCAAUGAAAAAUGUAUUUAUCUUAUCCUACUUCUAGCAUGAAAGGCUUAUUGUAGACACUAAGGAGUCUUUGCACGGUUGUCAGAUGCCAUGAUAUGCUGUAAGUGAGAGGAGUAAGCCAGGUGUGCACAGUCUCUCUCUGUUAUCCACAUUUGGAUGGUUAAUAAGAAAUUAAAGUUAUUAUGGCAGCAGCAAUGGAACUCCGCU